UGGGUUUGUCAUAACAGUCCGAUUAGAACCCUAGAAGCAACCUCUCAUCAUCUCUCGACAGACAAUCCUCCAUUUACUCUCUCACCUCCAAUUUUACCCUUUUCAGCAUACUCCAUCAUCUCUCGGCAGACUAUCUUCAACAUUGAUCAAGCACUGAAAGGAUCCCACCUCCGUUUCGUUCAUAAUAGCCGACGAUCAAGCACCUAAAGGAUUCAUUCUAUCUUCGCGAGAAUGUCUGGCAUCAGCGG
This 248-nucleotide long non-coding RNA is filed under the name Manihot esculenta (cassava). Its description in RNAcentral is "long non-coding RNA (MESC_LNC009158)". Lineage: Eukaryota; Viridiplantae; Streptophyta; Magnoliopsida; Malpighiales; Euphorbiaceae. The record is from RNAcentral.